RNAcentral lists this long non-coding RNA (251 nucleotides) under Brassica napus (rape). RNAcentral describes it as "long non-coding RNA (BNAP_LNC019617)". Lineage: Eukaryota; Viridiplantae; Streptophyta; Magnoliopsida; Brassicales; Brassicaceae. The record is from RNAcentral.
CUAAAUCAUUUUCAAGCAUAUGCGAUUCAUGUAUAUCGAUCUAGACAAUAAAAUAAAUUGGUACUUUAUUAAUCAUAAAUGAGGUUUAAUACAUAAGUUUAAGUUGCACGAUAGGCUAUCAUAAGUUCAUUCAUAAUCCGAUCUAUCCAUUCAACACACACUCUCCUGCUCAUUGAGUCUUCACAGUUCUUUGGUCUUACCACGAUCAACCUCAGAUCCUGAAACCACAUACCAUAACACAUCAAUCAUAA